Capra hircus (goat) is the source of this 113-nucleotide small nuclear RNA. Lineage: Eukaryota; Metazoa; Chordata; Mammalia; Artiodactyla; Bovidae. The record is from Ensembl.
AUGUGUCAUUGCUUUGGUAGCACAUAUAUCAAAAAAUUGAAAUAAUACUGAGAAUAUUAGCAUGGCCCCUGCCCAAGGAAGACACACAAAUUUAUGAUGCAUUCCAUAUUUUU